This 509-nucleotide antisense RNA is filed under the name Saccharothrix sp. ST-888. RNAcentral's name for it is "Saccharopolyspora sRNA 350". It matches the Rfam family "Saccharopolyspora sRNA 350". Lineage: Bacteria; Bacillati; Actinomycetota; Actinomycetes; Pseudonocardiales; Pseudonocardiaceae. The record is from Rfam by way of RNAcentral.
UUGACCGAGUAGUCCCAGAGCGCGUCGCUCUGCCGGACGGCCUCGUCGCCGAGGUGGUCGCCGUCGGCCAGCACGCCGAGCACGGUGGUGUGGCCGUACUUGCCGCUGCCGAUCUUGUUGACCUUGCCGUGCGCGAUCAGGAACACCUCCUCGAUCGGCUGCCCGGCCUCGACGAGCACCUCACCGGCCGCGAAGUCCCGCUGGGUGAACCGGCCCGCCAGCUCCUCCAGCACCGCGUCGUCCUCGAAGCCGCGCAGCACGGGCACCUCGCGCAGCGACGGCGGAACGAUCCUGACCUCCGCACCGGUCUUCACAAAGCUCACCCGGCCGCGCCCGACCGCAUAACUGAGCCGGCGGUUCACCCGGUAGGUACCACCGGAGACCUGCACCCACGGCAGCAUCUUGAGCAGCCAGCGGGAGCUGAUGCCCUGCAUCUGCGGCUCGGACUUGGUGGUCGUGGCCAGAUUCCGAGCGCCGGCCGUGCCGAGGCUGGUCUGCUGCCGGUUCUG